Molecule: long non-coding RNA, 690 nt
Filed under: Medicago truncatula (barrel medic)
Lineage: Eukaryota; Viridiplantae; Streptophyta; Magnoliopsida; Fabales; Fabaceae
Description: lncRNA gene36622
Source: RNAcentral
UUAUGGAAAAAUGCAUUUAAUUUUUUUAGAUAUCAUGAACGUACAUAGGCAUCAUAAGAUAAGACGUGAGGAAAUUCCAGCUAAGUUGGAACCCUAACUCCUUGCAAUCAUCUGCAAGACCUCAAAGAAACAUAUUAUUUAUAAAAAAAAAAAUAGGGGGGACUAUGCCAAAACCCAAGAAAAAAAUACAAUAGAAAACUGCCUCGUUAAAACCUGAUCAAGAAAACCCAAUUGGAUAAAACUUGAUGAAGGAAAAAAGAGUGCAGUGUGUACACAUUCAAUUAAAUUUACUAGCUAGAUAAACAUAAUUUAUAUUUUUAAAUAAAGAAUAAAACUUGAAAUAUUGUGAUGUCCCCUAGUUUCAAUUGUGCAAUUAUGGCCCUUGAUUUGAACCUUGAACAGAUUGCCAACAAAUACCACCAGCACACAUUGUAUAAUUAGGUUUAACCACCUUUGGACAAUCAGCUUCAGAAACACAGAGAAUUAAAUAGGUUGUAACUACAUUGUCAAAUAAAGAAAAAAAUUACUAAAAUAUGAUGAAUAGGGUGUAAAUAAAAUAUUUAGAAAACUUUAAAUAUGGUGUGAAAAAUGCAUACGCAUUGGUUCAGUCCUCUCGAUCGCCGCUUCUCCAAAAAAUAGAGAAAAAAAGAUAAUCAAAGAAUAAACAAACAUAAGAAACCGAACCAUAUU